This 209-nucleotide ribosomal RNA is filed under the name Megasphaera stantonii. RNAcentral's name for it is "partial 23S ribosomal RNA". It matches the Rfam family "Bacterial large subunit ribosomal RNA", at positions 2619 to 2826 of the family's 2925-position model. The record is from RNAcentral. Lineage: Bacteria; Bacillati; Bacillota; Negativicutes; Veillonellales; Veillonellaceae.
UCGUGAGACAGUUCGGUCCCUAUCCAUCGCGGGCGGAAGAAACUUGAAAGGGGCUGCUCCUAGUACGAGAGGACCGGAGUGGACGGACCAAUGGUGUACCAGUCAUGGCGCCAGCCGUGCAGCUGGGUAGCUACGUCCGGGACGGAUAAACGCUGAAAGCAUCUAAGCGUGAAACCAGCCUAAAGAUGAGGUUUCUCAUUGUGAAAGCA